Molecule: ribosomal RNA, 249 nt
Filed under: uncultured bacterium
Lineage: Bacteria
Description: partial 16S ribosomal RNA
Rfam family: Bacterial small subunit ribosomal RNA
Source: RNAcentral
AUACGUAGGUGGCAAGCGUUUGUCCGGAUUUAUUGGGCGUAAAGCGAGCGUCAGGCGGUUUCUUAAGUCUGAUGUGAAAGCCCCCGGCUCAACCGGGGAGGGUCAUUGGAAACUGGGAAACUUGAGUGCAGAAGAGGAGAGUGGAAUUCCAUGUGUAGCGGUGAAAUGCGUAGAUAUAUGGAGGAACACCAGUGGCGAAGGCGGCUCUCUGGUCUGUAACUGACGCUGAGGCUCGAAAGCGUGGGGAGC